This is a non-coding RNA of Schistosoma haematobium, 46 nucleotides long. The record is from Rfam. NCBI's taxonomy places the organism in Eukaryota, Metazoa, Platyhelminthes, Trematoda, Strigeidida, Schistosomatidae.
GCACUGCUGGUGAGUCCCACAACAGGAUGAAACACGCGUCCAGUGC